RNAcentral lists this ribosomal RNA (515 nucleotides) under uncultured bacterium. Its description in RNAcentral is "partial 16S ribosomal RNA". It matches the Rfam family "Bacterial small subunit ribosomal RNA", at positions 28 to 523 of the family's 1533-position model. The record is from RNAcentral.
GAUGAACGCUGGCGGCGUGCCUAAUACAUGCAAGUCGAGCGAAUGGAUUAAGAGCUUGCUCUUAUGAAGUUAGCGGCGGACGGGUGAGUAACACAUGGGUAACCUGCCCAUAAGACUGGGAUAACUCCGGGAAACCGGGGCUAAUACCGGAUAACAUUUUGAACCGCAUGGUUCGAAAUUGAAAGGCGGCUUCGGCUGUCACUUAUGGAUGGACCCGCGUCGCAUUAGCUAGCUGGUGAGGUAACGGCUCACCAAGGCAACGAUGCGUAGCCGACCUGAGAGGGUGAUCGGCCACACUGGGACUGAGACACGGCCCAGACUCCUACGGGAGGCAGCAGUAGGGAAUCUUCCGCAAUGGACGAAAGGCUGACGGAGCAACGCCGCGUGAGUGAUGAAGGCUUUCGGGUCGUAAAACUCUGUUGUUAGGGAAGAACAAGUGCUAGUUGAAUAAGCUGGCACCUUGACGGUACCUAACCAGAAAGCCACGGCUAACUACGUGCCAGCAGCCGCGGUAA